This 497-nucleotide ribosomal RNA is filed under the name uncultured bacterium. RNAcentral's name for it is "partial 16S ribosomal RNA". It matches the Rfam family "Bacterial small subunit ribosomal RNA", at positions 28 to 507 of the family's 1533-position model. The record is from RNAcentral.
GAUGAACGCUGGCGGCGUGCCUAAUACAUGCAAGUCGAGCGAACAGAUGAGGAGCUUGCUCCUCGGACGUUAGCGGCGGACGGGUGAGUAACACGUGGAUAACCCACUUAUAAUACUGGUAUAACUUCGGGAAACCGGAGCUAAUACCGGAUAAUAUAUUGAACCGCAUGGUUCAAUAGUGAAAGACGGUUUUGCUGUCACUUAUAGAUGGAUCCGCGCCGCAUUAGCUAGUUGGUAAGGUAACGGCUUACCAAGGCAACGAUGCGUAACCGACCUGAGAGGGUGAUCGGCCACCCUGGAACUGGGCCACGGUCCAGACUCCUACGGGAGGCAGCAGUAGGGAAUCGUCCGCAAUGGGCGAAAGCCUGACGGAGCAGCGCCGCGUGAGUGAUGACAGUCUUCGGAUCGUAAAACUCUGUUAUUAGGGAAGAACAAAUGUGUAAGUAACUAUGCACGUAUUGACGGUACCUAAUCAGAAAGCCACGGCUAACUACGUG